Molecule: long non-coding RNA, 1549 nt
Organism: Diorhabda sublineata
Lineage: Eukaryota; Metazoa; Arthropoda; Insecta; Coleoptera; Chrysomelidae
Exons: 2
Source: RefSeq, a predicted model, not a curated record
GCUCACCUGAGUUCAUGACUUAAAAAAGGUGUUUGAUACAACACAAUAACAAACGAUUCAACAGUUUUAUUAAAAAUUUCCUCUCCAAGAUUUGUAAUGAAGUUUGAAACGAAAAAGAAAAAAAAGGAUCAUGUAGCGACAGCGAUGAACCGGUCAAAGUAACGACAAUAUCGCAUGUAUCUUCAUCGGUCACCACAACAGGUUAUAUUCAGCCGCAGGAACUAUAAGACCAUUCCUUGAUGGAUGACUCAGAUAACUGCAAUGAUAUCGGGCGAUAUGUUGGACAGACACACAUGUCAUCAACAGUAAAGAAAAAGGAAUUGAUUGAAAACUGUUGGUACCCUUCCGCGACCUAUAAUGGAAGAUGCAAAACAUUUAAAGAGAAAAUUUAAUUAUUCUUGGUUGGAAACCAUAUUUUACAUGGUUGAUAUAUUCCAGGCGCCAAAAAGGAGCAUUUUGUAAAUAUUUUACGUUCUUCCCACCAAAUCCAAAUUCAUUUAGAGGCAUAUUGGGAUCUUUUACUAUAAGACCCUUUUGUAAGUUCAAAGAUAUUCACGAGCAGUGAAACGAGUUCAUUGCACGAAACCACAUUGAAACCUACUUCCAUAAGGAGGCAUUGAAAGCUGUUAAAUCCAUUUUCAAAGGUGUGCCUGUCGAUUUGCAACUGAACAAAUAUUCCUGGGGAGUUAUUGAAAAAAUUAUUAUUAUUAUUUCCUGCAUUACGUUUUGCAGGUCACACGACUAAGCACUGAGAAGUUAACAUUAUAGUGAAGGUAUUCUCGAGGAUUUAUAUAGGCUGUGGGAGAAUUGAUGCGGGAGAUUUGAUUUUAAAGAAACACAUUGAGCAAGGGAAAAAGAAAGCAAGCACUGUAUAUUCAAAAUGAAAUUAUUGUUAUUUGUGAAAGCGUUAUUAAGGCUGAUAUUAUGAAAAAAGUGAAAGAAGUAGCAGCAUAUAGUGUGCUAGCAGACGAAACAGGUGAUAUUUCUGGCACUGAACAACUAUCGAUUGGGUUGCGAUAUUUUGAUGAUGAAACACAGGAAGUCCAAGUAAUGUUUAUCGGUUUCAUUGAGUUAAAAUUUGGAUGCGAAAUCGAUUGCAUAUAUCAUAGAUGGGUUUUUGACAAAAGAAGAUCUGUAUAUGAAUAAAUGCGAUGGUUUUGGUUUUGAUGGUUAUUCAAUGAUGUCAAGAUAAAACGGAAAACUACACCAAAGCCUUCUACUUUCAUUGCUAGUUACACAAACUGAACCUAGUUAUCAAUGAUCUAAAUCUGGAAGCCUUACAAACAUUCUCUCGGGAAGGAAAUAGUGCAACUCGGAAAAGUGCCUUGCAUGUUAUUUCCAUAAUUUCUUUCAUUCUCGAAAUUAUGUUGGUAGCCAAAUACUCGGCUUUGAAGAAGUUUAAAAACUGUGAAAAUUAGCGCCUACCAAUAUUUUCCUUCAAAAAUUUAAAUUUACCAAGAGAAGCUGAAAUUAUACUUUUUUUUAUUAAAUUGAUGCUGUCCCCUUGUAAUUGUGUGUAAAGUGGAGGUUAUUAAAUUUUUUGAACAAA